RNAcentral lists this ribosomal RNA (224 nucleotides) under uncultured bacterium. RNAcentral's name for it is "partial 16S ribosomal RNA". It matches the Rfam family "Bacterial small subunit ribosomal RNA", at positions 127 to 334 of the family's 1533-position model. The record is from RNAcentral.
UACCCUUCGGCGGGGGAUAACAGUCCGAAAGGAUUGCUAAUACCGCAUUCGUCGGCGAUUCCUGAGGGGAUUGUCGGGAAAGGUGGCCUCUUCAUGAAAGCUACCACCGGAGGAUCAGCCCGCGGCCCAUCAUGCUAGUUGGCGGUGUAAAGGACCACCAAGGCGAAGACGGGUAGCUGGUCUGAGAGGAUGAUCAGCCACACUGGAACUGAGACACGGUCCAG